This 269-nucleotide unclassified non-coding RNA is filed under the name uncultured fungus. RNAcentral's name for it is "partial contains small subunit ribosomal RNA, internal transcribed spacer 1, and 5.8S ribosomal RNA". The stretch from base 1 to 73 matches the Rfam family "Eukaryotic small subunit ribosomal RNA", at positions 1759 to 1831 of the family's 1831-position model. Lineage: Eukaryota; Fungi. The record is from RNAcentral.
UCAAACUUGGUCAUUUAGAGGAAGUAAAAGUCGUAACAAGGUUUCCGUAGGUGAACCUGCGGAAGGAUCAUUAUUGAAAACAAGGGUGUCCAAUUUAACUUGGAACCCGAACUUCUCAAUUCUAACUUUGUGCAUCUGUAUUAUGGCGAGCAGUCUUCGGAUUGUGAGCCUUCACUUAUAAACACUAGUCUAUGAAUGUAAAAUUUUUAUAACAAAUAAAAACUUUCAACAACGGAUCUCUUGGCUCUCGCAUCGAUGAAGAACGCAGC